GAUGAACGCUGGCGGCGUGCCUAAUACAUGCAAGUCGAGCGAACAGAUAAGGAGCUUGCUCCUUUGACGUUAGCGGCGGACGGGUGAGUAACACGUGGAUAACCUACCUAUAAGACUGGGAUAACUUCGGGAAACCGGAGCUAAUACCGGAUAACAUAUUGAACCGCAUGGUUCAAUAGUGAAAGGCGGCUUUGCUGUCACUUAUAGAUGGAUCCGCGCCGUAUUAGCUAGUUGGUAAGGUAACGGCUUACCAAGGCAACGAUACGUAGCCGACCUGAGAGGGUGAUCGGCCACACUGGAACUGAGACACGGUCCAGACUCCUACGGGAGGCAGCAGUAGGGAAUCUUCCGCAAUGGGCGAAAGCCUGACGGAGCAACGCCGCGUGAGUGAUGAAGGUCUUCGGAUCGUAAAACUCUGUUAUCAGGGAAGAACAAAUGUGUAAGUAACGGUGCACAUCUUGACGGUACCUGAGCAGAAAGCCACGGCUAACUACGUGC
This 498-nucleotide ribosomal RNA is filed under the name uncultured bacterium. RNAcentral's name for it is "partial 16S ribosomal RNA". It matches the Rfam family "Bacterial small subunit ribosomal RNA", at positions 28 to 508 of the family's 1533-position model. The record is from RNAcentral.